Molecule: ribosomal RNA, 1212 nt
Filed under: Triticum aestivum (bread wheat)
Lineage: Eukaryota; Viridiplantae; Streptophyta; Magnoliopsida; Poales; Poaceae
Description: partial small subunit ribosomal RNA
Source: RNAcentral
AUGGCCAAUAAGAUGAAGAACAUGAGAGAGCAGUUGAAGGGGAUCACAGAAGACCGCAUUCCUUUCACUUUCAUGCAAGAAACUGCCCCUCGCGUGCAGGAAGUCUGUUACAACCGGGAAACAACAGCGGCUGUGACGGAAGCACGAGUCGUAGGGAGGGAUAAGGAAAAACUGGAAAUCAUGGCUCGUUUGUCUGGGAGCAUCACAAAAGAGAUCACCAUCCUUCCGAUAUAUGGUAUUGGAGGCAUUGGGAAGACAACCAUGGCACAAUUAGUUUUCAAGGAUUCGGAGUUCAAAGAGUACUCUCGGGUGUGGGUCUAUGUGUCCGAGACAUUUGAUUUGAAGAAAAUUGGGAAUUCUAUAAUAUCACAACUAUCCAAUAGCAAUAGUCAGUAUACCGACCUUCAGAUGAUAGAAAAUAACCUUCAAACGCACCUUUCUGUUAAAAGCGUACUAAUCAUCUUAGAUGACCUGUGGGAGAGGGAACCGCAUCAGUUAGAAAGGUUGAAGACUAUGCUAGAGCUGGGUGAAGGGAGCAAAGUAGUGGUGGUAGUAACCACACGAGAUGAAUAUAUUGCACAAAAAAAUCAGACGGUGGGGCCAUAUAAGCUAGCUCCCUUGACAGAUGACAUUUGUUGGACUAUCAUAAAAGAUAAAACUUCCUUUGAAGCUAGAACUGACAGAGCGCUGUUAGAGCUGGUCGGGAUGGACAUUGCAAAGAAGUGUGCAGGCUUGGCUUUAGCAGCCCGGUCUAUUGGGUAUAUGUUGGACUCUAUGGAAUUUGAUGAAUGGGUGUCGGUGAACAACAGUGAGUUGUGGGACGUGCUUGCCUCAGAAGGAUAUUCACCUCAUCAUGUGCAUGCAUCCUUGCUACUAAGCUAUCGCAGUAUGAGUUCAUACUUGAAGCUAUGCUUUGGCUAUUGUGCAAUCUUCCCAAAAGGUCACUUUAUAGCUAAAGAAGUUCUAGUUCACCAAUGGAUUGCUCUUGGACUUGUGGAGCCACUGAGGGCACUCUCUAAUAAAUAUAGCAGUGAUAAAUAUAUUAAUCAGCUUUUAGGCAUGUCCUUCCUUGAACAACCAAAGUUGCCAUGGGUGAGUUACUGCACACCUUUGUGGGAAUGUUCAACUGUUUUCUUCAACUUAUGGAAAUGCAGAUCAUAUGGUGCAUAUUCUCCUGAGAAUUUUGCCAACACCACCAUUUUGUUGGGAUAA